GAUGAACGCUGGCGGCGUGCCUAAUACAUGCAAGUCGAGCGAACAGACGAGGAGCUUGCUCCUCUGACGUUAGCGGCGGACGGGUGAGUAACACGUGGAUAACCUACCUAUAAGACUGGGAUAACUUCGGGAAACCGGAGCUAAUACCGGAUAAUAUAUUGAACCGCAUGGUUCAAUAGUGGAAGACGGUUUUGCUGUCACUUAUAGAUGGAUCCGCGCCGCAUUAGCUAGUUGGUAAGGUAACGGCUUACCAAGGCGACGGUGCGUAGCCGACCUGGGAGGGUGGUCGGCCAACAUGGAACUGGAACCCGGUCCAGACCCCUACGGGAGGCAGCAGUAGGGAAUCUUCCGCAAUGGGCGAAAGCCUGACGGAGCAACGCCGGGUGAGGGAUAAAGGUCUUCGGAUCUGUAAACUCUGUUAUUAGGGAAGAACAAAUGUGUAAGUAACUAUGCACGUCUUGGCGGUACCUAAUCGGAAAGCCACGGCUAACUACGUG
Molecule: ribosomal RNA, 497 nt
Filed under: uncultured bacterium
Lineage: Bacteria
Description: partial 16S ribosomal RNA
Rfam family: Bacterial small subunit ribosomal RNA
Source: RNAcentral